Long non-coding RNA from Tribolium castaneum (red flour beetle), 1297 nucleotides. RefSeq lists it as uncharacterized. The transcript is spliced from 4 exons. Lineage: Eukaryota; Metazoa; Arthropoda; Insecta; Coleoptera; Tenebrionidae. The record is from RefSeq and is a predicted model, not a curated record.
AAUAAUAAUAAUAAUAAUAGAUUUAUUGCCAUCAAUAAAUAAUACAUGGCGCGUCAUAUAAUUAUGUACAUGUAAGUGUAUAUGGGACAAUACAUACAUUUAUUUUAAAUCUGGAGGGUUAUCCAGGAACUCUUGGAUAGAAUAAUAACUCAUUUCUAAUAGUGCGUCCUUUACCUUCUUCUCAAACAGAGCCGGAGCUAGUCUCUUCAUCGGGUCCUGAAGCUUGUUAUAAAGCUUCGGGCCCCAAUGGUCAAUGCUGUGCUGUGACACUUUAAGCCGAUGGUACGGUGUUGAGAGCGCGUCAGCGUGUCUUGUGUUAUGCUCGUGAUAUGAGCCAUUCUUGAUGAACUCGUGGAGGUGGUUGUGGACGUACCUCAGACAGCUCAAUAUGUACGCGGAAGGGAUGGACGAAGAUCUUGUCAGCAUCUGAUGAAGUACCCCAUAGAAGUAUACCAUAGGUGGCUUUGCUGUGGAAGUUAGCAAAGUAUGUCACCCUUGCAGCUUGGGGAGUUGAGAUAUUCUUGAUUCUUCUGAUACUGAAUAAAGCUGAUGCUAGGUUUUUGCAGGUUUCCUGAAUGUGGUCCUUCCAAGAUGCUUUGCUAUUUAGGUAAAAUCCCAAGAAUUUUACCGAUGUGACGUUGGUGGGUUUUGAAGAUAUAAAUAGUUCCUGAGUCUUGUCUCCAUUGAGUUUCAGUUUAUUUGCUGUGAACCAUUCAUUGGCAUCUUCAAGGAUUUUUCUCAUUUUUGGUUUUAGCGUAUCCUCUGUUUCUUCUUUGAUGCAGAAGGAAGUGUCGUCCGCAUAUAGACACUGUCCAUCCACUCUCAUAUUGAUAGGCAAGUCAUUUACAUAGAUUAUAAAUAGCAGUGGACCGAGGAUUGAUCCCUGGGGCACUCCACACCUUGUUGGCAGAGGCUUUGACCAUUUUUCAUUCCAUUUUACUAUCUGGGUUCUAUUUUCAAGGGAAGAAUUUGUCAAAGGCAGCUGUCAGAGUUGUAUGGAAGACAGUGUAGGCCUCUUUUGCAUUACGGUGUUUGAAGACACGAGCCCACUCAAUUCCGGUUAAGUACUCCUUAAAGUAGUUCUUGCACUGGGUUCUUAAUCUUCAGGACUUGACAGUAGUGAUCAGACAUGCACCAACUUUUUGUCUCUUUUGAGAAGAUUUCUUCUAUGUUAAUAUUUGAAAAUAUAUUAUCUAUGCAGCUAGAAGAAGUUUCAGUUGUUCUAGAUGCCUCUCUCAUUAGUGGUUGCAUACCAUAUGUUGUGAAAGUUUCGAUUAAUAAAGAUUGUUCGACGCCA